This 6658-nucleotide long non-coding RNA is filed under the name Podarcis lilfordi (Lilford's wall lizard). The record is from RNAcentral. Lineage: Eukaryota; Metazoa; Chordata; Lepidosauria; Squamata; Lacertidae.
AAUCAUAUGUACUAAGAAACAGAUUUAUCAAUGACUGUUCUACUGCAGUGUUGCUUUUGUCCCACAUCUUUUAGGAUAGCAGCCAUUUUUUUCCACGAGAAAGAGGGAGUUUUUCCAAUGCCUCCUGGGGAGAGAAACAAAUAUUCUGCUUUAAAAAGGCAUGUGCAGUGUUGAAGUUUAAUCUGUUUAAAAGUCAGAAGCCGAGGACAGUGGCUGCUUCCAAGUGAAGGAGUUGCACUCAUGUCCACCUUGCAGGCUUCCCACAGGCAUCUGGUUGGCCAUAAUGAGAACAGAUGCUGAACUAGAUGGGCCAUUGACUUGAUCCUGCAGACUGUUCUUCUGUUCUUCAGUAGCCUUUUCCUCAAUAUGCAUGAGCAGUAGGAUGGAGCUUACAUUUUAAGAUAGGAGAUCUAAGCUUCUUUCCAGGCUAUUGUCAAUUGAAACUAUUAACCUUUCAACCUGUUGUUCUCCCUGUGCAUAUCACAAGGGAUCAAUGCUAAGAACAGAUUUAAGGGGGAAGCCCUGUCCCUGGACUCUUUACAUUUCUGUCUCUUCAUCUGACAUCCAACCCAUAUUUUCACCUUUCCUUUGAGAAUACUAAUCUAACAUUAGCAAUAAAGUCAAGUACAACUGUAUGAUGCCAAACAGUGAAAUCCAUCAUCCACCACAUUCUUCUUGUACACUAGGGUACUGGCUUUCAUUCCAAUCAAUCCUGGUGCUUUUUGAAAGACCUCAGAGGUGUUGAAAUAGCAAGGUCAAGUCAUACCAAAUGUUGCAUUAGGAUGGUAUUUCAACACUUUGUACCUCAUAAGCCUGUAAUUUUGACAUUUUCUUGCAGUCACUAGAGUCUUUCAAGAUGAACUAUAAUGAACUGCGCCUUGCUGAACACAUUCACAUAUAGAAAAUACUAUGUAUUUAAAAACAAAUAUGUGUUUAGACAAAGUUGCUAGUCUUUUUCUUUUAAAAAAACAGGCUCAGGUCCUCUCCAGAUGGCCUUUUUAUUGUGCAUUCAUAAUUAUUUGUGCUUAUGAUGCUAUAGGGGCACCCAUAUGUGAUUUCGCUUUCAAUAUUGCAAAAAUUUCAGGGUAAUCCUUUCCAAAAGUACGUAAUGUGUAACUUCCUGCUGAAAUUCUGUCACUUUCCAUACCACAAAUGUUCUGUGUUUUUUGUUGUGCUAUAGCCCUACUGGACAGCAAUGAUGUGGGAGCAUUGGGGAAUCACUUCAGAACAGCCAAUAAAGGUAGAUUUUGGGAUCUACCUGUUGGUGCAGCACUUAGAAUGGAUUUGUAAUACCACACAUAGAAUUUGCAUGCAGUUGGUUUUGGCAUAGGAUGUGACUGGCAAAUUUAAGAAGGUUCAGGCUAUUCAUUUCUGAGGAAUUCUGGGAGCUGAAUGCAUGCCAGCCCUUUAAUCUAGGUUUUAUAGCAGGGAAGUUGCAGAAUGCACCCUAAGAUGGGAAUGUAGUUGGCAUGUAGCUCUUAGAUCAGGGGUAGCCACUUGGUGCCCUCCAGAUGUUGUAACUCCUGGCAGUCCCAUUCAGCUUGGCCAAUGGCCAGGCAUGAUGGGAGUUUAAGUCUAACAUCUGGAGGACACUGUGGUAGCUAUCCGUGUCUUAGGUGGAUAGCCAGCCAUUUCUUUUUGGUCAAUGCUGAUCCCACUCCCCCUUGCUUCUUUUGUACCUGUUGCAAAGGUGGUAUAAACUGCAAUUUCAUUGCAAACACCAGAGUGGAAGUCUGUUGAAUCCUUUUUGACAUCCAUGGUGAAAGAUUCCAAUGACUGCUUUACUGUGGGCAUAUCAAAAUUCAGGGUGCAUCAACACUUCUGUUUGUCCUGUGCCCUGGACUUUCCAGGCACAGAUCUCAACUGUUUUCCACAUGUCUCAUUCCUUUCCCGGGGAAAACCUGCCUUUUAGUGCUAAAUUGGAGCAAAUGUAAAUCUGGAGAAAACCUGAAUGCUCCAACUAAAGAGCAGUUUUCCUGAGGAAAAGCAGUGCGACAAAGGAAGUGUGAAUGAGCCCUUAGCUUGGUGAAAAAAAUUGGGACAUGGAUAAAAGUAAUUGCUGAAGGGUAUUUUUUGCUCAAGGGCUGUGUUAACUAACACUCUCUUUGGAAUCUUCCUUCACUUGGAUGUUAGUUUCUGUUUUAGUCCCUUCUGUUAUGUUGUCUCCAAAUUGUGACUCACACACAAGGAUCAUACCAACAAUCACUUUAAGAGGAAGGCUAUGAAAGAGUCUUUCGGGAAACCAUUCAUGCACUUCUUCAGGAGGUUAGCAAAAGUAUCUAUAGAAUGAGCUGAGCUGUUGAUUUAGCUGAGGCCAGAUUUGACAUAGCCAUGCUACUUUCCAGGAUAAUUUUAGCAGCUCAUUUUGGUAAGCUUUCAGAAAUGUAAUAUUGUUCUGGCAGACCAGAAAUGUCUCCUGCACAAGUCCCCAAUGGAAACAAAGGGGAAUUGCACAAGAGCAAACUUUAUUCUUAGCACACUAUUAUACAGUUGUAUGUCCGUUAUUAGCCCUAUGGACAGAGGAUGUUUCACUUCUGUGUUCUGUAUAGCCGGGAUGGUGUGUCCUGUUUCACUGCUUGAGGUGAAAUGGAGAGUGCUACUUUGCCCUGCUGCCACUGCUGCUCCUGGCACAACCUAUCUGCUCCUGCUGCUGCCAUCUGCUCAGCUGCCACCCUGCGCCCUGCUCCAUCGUCUGCUGGUGGAGAAGCACCACCACCACCGGUGCCAAUUUUGGGCAAGAUCACACCAAUUUUGGUGUGAUCUUGCCACAGAAUCAACACCAAUGGCAGGUGGUGGACAUGGCAGGGCACCUUUGGGCAUGCUGCCAUGGGGGUUUCUGCCGCCUGAAGCAGCGGCCUCACCUGCCUCAUGGCUGGUAAAGCACAUAAUACAUUACCAGCUUUAUAGACAUGAUUAAUAUAUUAUAAUAGUAUGUGACACCUAGAGUAAUGAUACUCCUGAAUGUUCAGUUCUUAAAGGCACAUAAACUUUCCUCAUCAGAACAGUUACUAAUCCUUUGUGUGAAAAGGAUUUUCAAAUCUGACAAAGAAUUCACCACUGUCUGAAGAUUAAACAAGUCCGGAAAUUGAUAAAUGCUCAACAUUGCAAACUGGGCAAAUGUGAAUGGUUCUUAAUGGGCAAAGCAAUUAGAUUUUAUAGAAGAAGAGAGAACAAUUGAAAAGGUGAAGGUUUUGCGUUUCAGAGCAAUGGACCUUUGAGAACCGCACACAUUCUUUGCAUGUUAUCUGAAUUAUGUUCACCCUGUUGUGUUAAAGAAGAGGCACACAUCCCGCCAGUAUCUUGAGCUUGAUGUAGACAUGACCUUUGACCUGGAAGUCACUCUUUCUUAAUUUCUUCCUGCGAUGGACUAAGAACGCCACAUAUACAUCAGUGGAGGAAUGACUACAAGGAUUAAGAAUCCCUGCAGAGCCCUGGAGCUCAUGGGGUAACCUUGAGCCAGUCACAGUCCCCCAGUCUCACUUACUUCACAUGAAGAUUGUGAGAAUAAAAUGGGAUAACCCCCAUGUGUACCACGCUGUGUACCUUGGAGAUGCUACAGAAAUCUGAUAAAUAAACAAAACAUAUCAAAUUAACUCUUUGAGGGUGGCCAAUAAUUUUUUUGAACAAUUUCUUCUGGGAGCAUUAAAGCGUUUUGUGCCAUCUGCUUUGUGAGAAAGGGAAGGAGGGAGAAAACUCUUAGGAAUGGGUCUGGUGGCUCCUUGUCUCAGGCAAUGAUGCUGAGAAAGCACAAAUGAGCCGCAGUGGUGAACUCAUGCAAAUGCAAUGCCCCUCAAGGCCACAGGAAUUGUGGAAAGAUUUGUGUAAAUAUCUCAUGCAUUCUUGUGCUGUAAGGUUUAUGGAAAUGAAAACCACAGUUGAAAAGCCAAUGCCACAUCCAUUCCCCCUCCUCACUGCCUUUUUAAAAAAAUGACUAGAAUAAGUUCACAGAAGAUGUGAUGAGUAGUCAAGAAAAUAAGUUGUUCUUAUUUCAGUACCAGGGAGGUAAAAAAAGAAUGGAGUUUGCCAUACAUGAGGCAGGACAGGAUGUGAGAGUGUGGAAGGAGGAGGCCAUUUUGUAUGUGUCGAACGAACUUCUGCCGAAGGCAUGGAGAGAAGAAUCUGGGCCACACACACACAAAGUGGAAAAGUUGUUUGAAUGUGGAUCACAUGUAUAUGUCAUUGUACUCUUAUUCAGCUUAAAGUAGGGCUAGUCCAAGACAUCUUCCUGCUUUAGGCAGAGCAGCAAGUGGUGUCCAUUCCCUGAAUCUCUCACCUCUCAAGUGAAGAUUCAUAGUACUCAUGACUGGUCAAGUUACUUCGGUGCCUGCAGCAUAAAAUUCUACAAGGGCCUCUCCUAUCAGUAAGAUAUACAAUAGUAAUACAUUAAAUAACAAGUGGCUGCCCUUCCAUGAUAGAAUUAGUGGUUGAGGUGACCACUCCACACUGCUUAAUAAUAGGGUUUAGCUCAGCACGAACCUAUAAAUGUCUCCUAAGAAGUAAGUACCAUUGAAUCCAAUGGGGCUUAUUCCAUGGAAAGUGGGUAAAAGUUUGCAGUCAUAUUUCAGAUAGAGUAGCCACUAUUUUGUUCUUUGCGUUGGCUAAACAAGGCCAGUGGUGUGACUGGUUGAGGACACAUGGGACUAAGGGUAGAUAAAAUUGCAGGUAUUUAUCUGCAAUGGGAUGCUGCCCAGAUAAACAGGCCCAGAGUUCUGUAACAAAUGGCAGUUAUGGCAAACCCAGGACUUUGGGCAAGUCUGUCUUGCAGCAGUCAAUCAAUGGUACUGCACCUGAAGCAGGAAAUACAAGUUUUAGUGGUGUCUUGGAGCAACUGACAUUCCCUUCUAGUCUGAGCUAGGUAGUCAAGGUGGAAGUAGACAGUUUGGACUACAGCUACAACUGAUGCUAUAUAUCUAAGUUCAGUGGCUGUUUUUGAAUGACAUAAUUUAAAGGUGCUUCACAUGUAUUUCGAAAUCUACAGACAAAAAAUCUAGGAAGGUCAUCAGCAGUGAGUUGCAUUCUUUGUGGUAUGAAGCAACUGCAGCAGACACUCUUUCAUUGACCUCAGUUACGUCACCUGGUUGCACAACAACUCUGAUUAAACCAGAAUAAGGUUGAGAGCUCAAUAUAAGUAUGGUCCAUCAAGUGUCCACACUGCUUGUCUUAGUGGAGAAAUGAAACAAAAGUUGUUCAAAAAACUCAUUGGCAGUUUCUAUGGCAAAUAUGCUCCAGGGUCUGCUUAUCAUCUCUGAACAUUCCUCACCUGUUUGUUCUUCUGUGUCUGAAUUUGGUAUGAGGGUGGUCCACUUAUGCAUCAAGAAGAAAAAGAUACCACCAUGAAAGAUCUGCAUAGAAUUUGCAUAUGCUAAUUUAUAUGUACAGAUGCCAUUAUAUAAAUUAAUAAUGGUUCCCCAUCUGGGAUUUUUAGCGCUUCUCAGUCUGGAUGAAAUGCCUUGCUAUUUUCCCUCCCUACUAUGUGCUUUUCAAAAAGUGAACUUGCAAGGAUUUUUUUUCUUAAAUAAACCCCUUCUUUAUUUGAGUUUGCUAUCAACUCUCAAAUGCACGCUUGCCUUUCCCCCUUCUCCCCUGUGCUCAUCAGUUUCUCUGAAGGAAGCAGAUCUCUCCUGACCCUCCUGGAAUGCUCUGUGCUUAUUUUAUCUCUGAAAACAAAGCGAAUUUUGUAGUGUUUUGUUCUAUUUCCUACGUGAUAGAAUCCUUUGUUUUCAUCUGCAACCUCUGCAGCUUCCAAUAUUUUACUUUAUUUUUCACUCCUAGCAGCUUGUCGAGACACCAGGUUCAAUAGUCUGCCACUAGGCCCUGCCUCAAGGUCGAGGAUUCCCUCCUUUUCCUUCCCAGUAUUGUCCUGCAUCCUGGAGGGCCCUUCUUCAUACAGUGCAAUGGCUGCUGUGACAAUAAGGACUGGCACCAGGCACACUUGCUGCCACGGUAUCGGUGGCUGAGCGCAUGCCAAACUCCGGUGACAAUAGCAUGACUUCAGAUCCUUUAUUAGGAAAGGAAAGGCCUAAAUGGGAGGGUCCACUUACGAGCACACAGUGCCACCUUGGUUCUGCCUAGUGCAUUGUUCUUGUCAGCCUACAGUGGAAACUCCCUCCUUCUAAGCUUGUAGAGUUUAGAGACAUAGAUAUAUAAACUUGCAAAGAUUACACACACACACACACACACACACACACACACACCUUUCUGUUGGGCCCCUUAACUCAUUCUUGCAUUCAUGGGUAGUCUAAUACACCUGCACAUUUAUUGAGAAACACUUUGGGUCUAAGAAGAGGAUUUGUUGACAAGUGUACAGAAGGUCUAGAGCUUAAAUUUGUCACUGCAGCAAAAUUGCCAUUUGGUGUCAGGUCACUUCUGGAAGGGAUGGAGAAAAGGUAGACCAGGAUCUUCUGGCAGUAAUGGAAGUAGAUCACCAAAAUGUUCUGACUCUCGGUUGUUUAACAACAAUAAAAAAUACCCCCUAAAUGAUACUGUUGCACCAAAGAAAGCUGUGUAUGAUUAUUGCAUGUGUUUAACCUGAGGUGGCUUUUUGUGUCGAAGGACUGUAAGCUCAGUACAGUUUUGGGAGUUUCUGGGCUCAGAAUUUUAAAAUUCCAAGUAUGCUUUCUUUAGAAAUACUGUAGCAUUUAUUGAAAUUUUCCAAUAC